GGACUACCCGGGUUUCUAAUCCUGUUUGAUCCCCACGCUUUCGUGCCUCAGCGUCAGUAACAGUUUUGUGAGCUGCCUUCGCAAUCGGUGUUCUGUGCCAUAUCUAAGCAUUUCACCGCUACAUGGCACAUUCCGCCCACAUCAUAUGUACUCAAGAUCGGCAGUAUCAAUGGCAGUUCUGUUGUUAAGCAACAGGCUUUCACCACUGACUUACCGUUCCGCCUACGCACCCUUUAAACCCAAUGAAUCCGGAUAACGCUCGGGUCCUUCGUAUUACCGCGGCUGCUGGCAC
RNAcentral lists this ribosomal RNA (292 nucleotides) under uncultured Bacteroidota bacterium. Its description in RNAcentral is "uncultured Bacteroidetes bacterium partial 16S ribosomal RNA". The record is from RNAcentral. Lineage: Bacteria; Pseudomonadati; Bacteroidota.